Molecule: unclassified non-coding RNA, 269 nt
Filed under: plant metagenome
Description: partial contains small subunit ribosomal RNA, internal transcribed spacer 1, and 5.8S ribosomal RNA
Source: RNAcentral
UUUCUGUAGGUGAACCUGCGGAAGGAUCAUUAUCGUACAAAAUGUGAGGGCAUGCGAGGGCUGUCGCUGACCCGAAAGGUCGUGCACGCCCGAGUGCCCUCACACACAUCCAUCUCACCCCUAUGUGCACCACCGCGUGGGUCCCCCUUUGGCUUGUUCGGAGGGGGGCUUACGUUUUCACACAAACUUUGUAUGCAGUGUAGAAUGUAUUUUUUGUUUUUGCGAUCACGCAAUCAAUACAACUUUCAACAACGGAUCUCUUGGCUCUC